UUUUUUGCAUUCGUUUUUAUAUUCUGAGUGGAAUUUUUAAAUAAAAAUUAAAACUUUCAACAACGGAUCUCUUGGCUCUGGCAUCGAUGAAGAACGCAGCGAAAUGCGAUAAGUAAUGUGAAUUGCAGAAUUCAGUGAAUCAUCGAAUCUUUGAACGCACAUUGCGCCCGCCAGUAUUCUGGCGGGCAUGCCUGUUCGAGCGUCAUUUCAACCCUCAAGCCCCCCGGGCUUGGUGUUGGGGAUCGGCACAAGGCCCCUCGCGGCCCGCCGUCCCCCAAAUGCAGUGGCGGUCACGUCGCAGCCUUCUAUGCGUAGUAGCAACACCUCGCACUGGAGCGCGACGCGGCCACGCCGUAAAACCCCCGACUUUUUUCUGGUUGACCUCGAAUCAGGUAGGACUACCCGCUGAACUUAAGCAUAUCAA
Molecule: ribosomal RNA, 424 nt
Filed under: Neonectria sp. E9719a
Lineage: Eukaryota; Fungi; Ascomycota; Sordariomycetes; Hypocreales; Nectriaceae
Description: eukaryotic LSU rRNA
Rfam family: 5.8S ribosomal RNA (bases 52-205)
Source: RNAcentral